Megalopta genalis is the source of this 1310-nucleotide non-coding RNA. NCBI's taxonomy places the organism in Eukaryota, Metazoa, Arthropoda, Insecta, Hymenoptera, Halictidae. The record is from RefSeq and is a predicted model, not a curated record.
GAUAUGGAUUCUAUUCUAUGUUGUACAUAUAUGUAUACACAUAUAUACAUAUAUGUAUCUAGUACAUCAAAGUGUACAUACUUUUUCGCAAUAAUUACCAUCCGUCUCCCACAUGGCGAAUUUAUUCUUUUUGUAUGUCCUUUGCCAGGGAUGACGGUGCUUCACAAGCCUUAAAUACCUCGGUAACCAUGAAAUCAAAGCACCCUCUAAAAUGUCUCCUGUUCCACAAACUGGAUCGGCAGGAGAACAAUAAUGGCAAACUCCGUAAAGACAAGUAUCGUUGCCAUCUUGAUACAUGGUCGUAUAUAGCUCGGGUGUCGCGCGUGGUCGAAUUUCCUUCCUCAGGUCGACUAUGAAAAUAUUGUUUGAUAACAGAGGCACAUACGUUUCCUCGCAACAGUAAUUGGUACCCUCCUCAAGGCCAGUAAGGAAGAUAAAUGAAAUGCAACGACUUCGGCGUUAUGCCGGUCUUUCCCAUGAUACACCGGCCCUUGAAUAACCAUAUCUCUGGAAUACCAUUGAGGCUUGAACAUCGCCUUCACUCCGUGUUCCAGCGUUAACAUCAAUUUCAAUUGCGUACCGAGUGGCGCAUUAUCUGCUCUCGUCACCUUCGAUUUGCGCAAAGUGUCCAAAAUUGUUCCUAGUUCAGGUGCAACCGGCGGGAUCAACUGGUGCGCAUCCGGCCACUAAAAAAUGUUCAUUCAACUCUUAUGCUUUCGCCAGCUUUCACAGAUUAUAAAAUCAAAUGCACAAGUUCAAAACCCAUAUCCAAUGUUAUACUACAAUAAUAUAUAGAGAGAAAUAUAUAGAGAGUUUAAAUAUCGUUUUUAUGCUAAUUAGAAUUGAUGUAUUUUUAUAAAAAUUUGUAUCUUUUAAUACCAUUUUUGUGCAACAAGUCGCUACCAAAGCAAAUGUUCCAUAGUUUAAUUGCUGCUUGCAUUUUUUAAAAUAAUAAUUAUAAUUUCUGCUCUCGUGAUCAGUUUUAAUAAUUAUUAUACAUACGAUUAUAUCCCUCUGUAUAUCUCUUUCCUUUGUAUUCAAAUUGAAAUGAAUAUAUGAACAAACUAUUAUAUUAUAUAUAUAGAUUGAUAUUGAUAAUAUAAUAUAUACAUAUAUUAUAUUAUCAACUACUACAAUUCAGCUAUCAUCAUUCAUGUAGCAUGGAUAUUAGUAUUCAUGAAAACAAACGCAAAAUGUAUGUUAUAUGUAUACCUGAAACAAGCUUGUAUCUAUGUAUCUAGAUUUCCAAAAUUAACAUUGUCGAAAACAUUACAAAGAGACAAACGCAAACAAUUGUUAUUUUUCCCUUA